RNAcentral lists this ribosomal RNA (583 nucleotides) under uncultured Fusarium. Its description in RNAcentral is "eukaryotic LSU rRNA". The stretch from base 218 to 371 matches the Rfam family "5.8S ribosomal RNA". The record is from RNAcentral. Lineage: Eukaryota; Fungi; Ascomycota; Sordariomycetes; Hypocreales; Nectriaceae.
UUUUGGUCAUUUAGAGGAAGUAAAAGUCGUAACAAGGUCUCCGUUGGUGAACCAGCGGAGGGAUCAUUACCGAGUUUACAACUCCCAAACCCCUGUGAACAUACCACUUGUUGCCUCGGCGGAUCAGCCCGCUCCCGGUAAAACGGGACGGCCCGCCAGAGGACCCCUAAACUCUGUUUCUAUAUGUAACUUCUGAGUAAAACCAUAAAUAAAUCAAAACUUUCAACAACGGAUCUCUUGGUUCUGGCAUCGAUGAAGAACGCAGCAAAAUGCGAUAAGUAAUGUGAAUUGCAGAAUUCAGUGAAUCAUCGAAUCUUUGAACGCACAUUGCGCCCGCCAGUAUUCUGGCGGGCAUGCCUGUUCGAGCGUCAUUUCAACCCUCAAGCACAGCUUGGUGUUGGGACUCGCGUUAAUUCGCGUUCCUCAAAUUGAUUGGCGGUCACGUCGAGCUUCCAUAGCGUAGUAGUAAAACCCUCGUUACUGGUAAUCGUCGCGGCCACGCCGUUAAACCCCAACUUCUGAAUGUUGACCUCGGAUCAGGUAGGAAUACCCGCUGAACUUAAGCAUAUCAAUAAGCGGAGGA